GGGGAUGUACUGGCUUCGACGCUGGUGAUGAAACUCAAUGAUGCAUGCCGAGAGCGCAUUAUCUCUCGUAAAUCAAUCUUGCAUUUUUAUAGUCGCAAACGACGAAACCUACGCUCUAGCAGCCUAAGGGCUGCUUGUCCGCCGAACCAGCCUGUUCGUUGGGCUGUUAGCGGUUAAAGCAAUAGACGAUAACUAAGCAUGUAGAUUCGUGGGCGUAGUGCUGGCGGACGCGGGUUCAAAUCCCGCCAUCUCCACCA
This 257-nucleotide transfer-messenger RNA is filed under the name Moraxellaceae. RNAcentral describes it as "Alkanindiges sp004173455 Standard tmRNA". It matches the Rfam family "transfer-messenger RNA". Rfam says of the family: Bacterial tmRNA, also known as 10Sa RNA or SsrA, is named for its dual tRNA and mRNA-like properties. Its role is to liberate the mRNA from a stalled ribosome. To accomplish this part of the tmRNA is used as a reading frame that ends in a translation stop signal. The record is from RNAcentral. RNAcentral also lists the same sequence under 1 other name. Lineage: Bacteria; Pseudomonadati; Pseudomonadota; Gammaproteobacteria; Moraxellales.